UCCCCAGUGGCACAAUCGGUUAGCGCGCCGUACUUAUAAUGCGGAGGUUGUUAGUUCGAGCCUCACCUGGGGAA
Molecule: transfer RNA, 74 nt
Filed under: Saccoglossus kowalevskii
Lineage: Eukaryota; Metazoa; Hemichordata; Enteropneusta; Harrimaniidae
Description: tRNA-Ile
Rfam family: tRNA
About the family: Transfer RNA (tRNA) molecules are approximately 80 nucleotides in length.
Source: RNAcentral